CUCUCUCAGGUUUGUGACUUCAAACUCUUAUGAUGCAUGGGAUGGUGCUUGCUGCUUAGACGUUUUCGUUUCGUAAGAGAACAGAAGAGAAGCAUGGCAAUGUCAUCACGGGUUGCAAGGAAAAAAGUUGCAUCAAGCCAGGACAAGGCGGGCAUCCUACCGAUACCGCGCACCGAGAUCCGUGACUGCUGCAGCUAAAGUAGGCAGCCAUCCCUCUUCUGUUGGCAAACUCAGUGAAAAGCCUUGGUGAAACAGGUAGUGCCAUACUGUGCCAAAAUCGCCCUAUUGGUCUAGCACUUCAACACUGGCACCAGAAAUUGCAACCAUAUCAAUCCACAUCCACAUUCAACGUUCACAAGAAUUAAACUCUCUGAAUCAUAACUGUCAUGUCAUACAAAGGAAAUGCGAAGUUUCAGUGAUGUUCAGAACAAACAUGCACAAGGGCUGAAAGCAUUGCUGAAGGCACAUAUAUUGCUUCCCCCCUAAGUUCAUGGCACGAUUGAUAUGCAAGAUGUGAGCAGCAUAAAUCUACCAUGACCCUACUGCACCCUGGGCUGGGUUUUCAAAAUGAGAGAAGCCCCAGUAGGUCUUCAAAGAGUAUGGCGGG
This is a long non-coding RNA of Panicum virgatum (switchgrass), 607 nucleotides long. RefSeq lists it as uncharacterized. The record is from RefSeq and is a predicted model, not a curated record. The transcript has 2 exons. Lineage: Eukaryota; Viridiplantae; Streptophyta; Magnoliopsida; Poales; Poaceae.